This is a long non-coding RNA of Homo sapiens (human), 681 nucleotides long. Ensembl annotates it as ARHGAP15 antisense RNA 1. Its record names the gene ARHGAP15-AS1. The record is from Ensembl. NCBI's taxonomy places the organism in Eukaryota, Metazoa, Chordata, Mammalia, Primates, Hominidae.
UCUCAGCACCAGUUUUAUGGAGCCCCCACCGCUAAGCAAGUAUGCAAAAUGCAGUGCUGCUUCGCAUUGGGAAAUCCCCAAUCUGGUGCCAAGAGGUUCAUAAAUACAGUAAUGGACCCUCUUAUGUCAAAAGAACUUUGGAAAAAUGCAGACAUUAAAACAGAAAAAACAUUGCUUGUUGUCUUUUUUCUUUGGAUCUGUAGAGUUACCAGAAGAAAAAGAUGGGAACAGUGGUAAAGUUAGUACAUUUCCUAGGAUUUAGAUCUACUGGAAAUGUCUGGACCCCUGCAGGCCUCUAGCCACAAGAUUGCAUCACCUAUCAUAAAACUCCCUGGCUGUGCUUUUCUACUGAGUUCACAUUUACAGUACUAAUAAUGCCUUCAGUACAAGUCAUUUCCAGGGAAUUAAAUCUUUGCAGUCAGUGGGUUAAAUCCCCAUGAAAUAACCUGCAGGUGACCCAGUUGGAUUGAUCUCAAGUAUAGAAUUUCAGAUCAAUAGUUGCUGUACUUGGAUUCUGAGAUAUAAAACAAUCCCUAGUGUUUUUGUUACCCCAAUGAGUAUUAUCAGACAAGGGAUUACUAUGGCAAUUGCAGGGUCUUAUGAUAUUAAUGGGGUUUUUUUUUUUUUGGUCCAAAAAGAAGUUAUUUUAAAAAGUAAAUGCCUUCUGUUCACUCUUCUUGG